GAUGAACGCUAGCGGCAGGCUUAACACAUGCAAGUCGAGGGGCAGCACAGGUGGCAACACCGGGUGGCGACCGGCGUAAGGGUGCGUAACACGUGAGCAACAUACCCGUAUCUGGAGGAUAACCGGAGGAAACUCUGCCUAAUACUCCAUAAUAUCAUCGUACGGCAUCGUUUGGUGAUUAAAGAUUUAUCGGACACGGAUUGGCUCGCGGGACAUUAGCUUGUUGGUGGGGUAACGGCUCACCAAGGCCACGAUGUCUAGGGGUUCUGAGAGGAAGGUCCCCCACACUGGAACUGAGACACGGUCCAGACUCCUACGGGAGGCAGCAGUGAGGAAUAUUGGACAAUGGUCGGAAGACUGAUCCAGCCAUGCCGCGUGAAGGUUACUGUCCUAUGGAUAUUAAACUUCUUUUGUAUGAGAGCAAUAAGGUCACGUGUGCACCGAUGAGGUAUCAUACGAAUAAGCAUCGGCUAAC
This 475-nucleotide ribosomal RNA is filed under the name uncultured bacterium. RNAcentral's name for it is "bacterial SSU rRNA". It matches the Rfam family "Bacterial small subunit ribosomal RNA", at positions 28 to 501 of the family's 1533-position model. The record is from RNAcentral.